This is a non-coding RNA of Schistocephalus solidus, 45 nucleotides long. The record is from Rfam. NCBI's taxonomy places the organism in Eukaryota, Metazoa, Platyhelminthes, Cestoda, Diphyllobothriidea, Diphyllobothriidae.
CCAAAGGCUUUUUUCAGAGCCACGAAGGUAGUGUAGAGAAGGAUU